ACCACCCGUCACACUAUGGAAGUUGGCCAUGCUCAAAGUCGUUACCUUAAUCGUAAGGAGGAGGAUGCCAAAGGCAAGGCUAGUGACUGGAGUGAAGUCGUAAUAAGGUAGUCGUAAUAGAAGGUGCAGCUG
This is a non-coding RNA of Gossypium hirsutum (cotton), 132 nucleotides long. The record is from Rfam. NCBI's taxonomy places the organism in Eukaryota, Viridiplantae, Streptophyta, Magnoliopsida, Malvales, Malvaceae.